RNAcentral lists this ribosomal RNA (232 nucleotides) under uncultured bacterium. RNAcentral's name for it is "partial 16S ribosomal RNA". It matches the Rfam family "Bacterial small subunit ribosomal RNA", at positions 102 to 334 of the family's 1533-position model. The record is from RNAcentral.
CCACGGGUGAGUAACACGUAUCCAACCUGCCGUCUACUCUUGACAGCCUCUGAAAGGAAGAUUAAUACAAGAUGGCAUCAUGAGUCCGCAUGUUCACAUGAUUAAAGGUAUUCCGGUAGACGAUGGGGAUGCGUUCCAUUAGAUAGUAGGCGGGGUAACGGCCCACCUAGUCUUCGAUGGAUAGGGGUUCUGAGAGGAAGGUCCCCCACAUUGGAACUGAGACACGGUCCAA